Molecule: ribosomal RNA, 417 nt
Filed under: Triticum aestivum (bread wheat)
Lineage: Eukaryota; Viridiplantae; Streptophyta; Magnoliopsida; Poales; Poaceae
Description: partial small subunit ribosomal RNA
Source: RNAcentral
AUGAGAGCUUGUGACCGUAUCAAUGCACCGAAGGAGGUUCAAUACAGCGCUGAUUCAUCCCAGCGAAGCUCUAUUGCAAUGCAGCACGGGCAGUGCAACCAGCAGCUUAGGCAACAUCGUUUGAGUUGCAGCACCGCCCGGGCUCUGAGGGCCUCCAGCGAUGCUCCAUUGCAACCGGCAGAGCCCCCCUGGUUAGCAUGUGCUGCUUGCCAGAGGCAAACACACCCCUUGCCGUUCGACUCCAGAACCGGCUACUCUACCGUGCCUCUGGGCACGGCAGAGUGCCGUGCUUAUUACGCACCACCAGCGUGCACAUUGAUAUGGGCCAGAAAGCGAAGUGCAGCGCUGCACGCAGCGCAUCCACGGCUGGUACUGCGUCGCGAUUUGGACCAGCUGCAAGUGCUACUUGGCGUAUAA